ACAUCUCUUGGAGUUCUAGCUCACCUUUCUGGUGUUGUUCUUGUACUCAUCUGUUUAAUCUAGUUCUGCCACUUCUUUUUGAACUUUUUGUUAGAUUUCAAGUCUGUAUUUUGUGUCCGUGACAAGAGGUUAGAGUGAAGCCUUCUUCACUCCUGUCAAUGCCUUUCUAGUAUCACGGACAUACACAUGUAAGCCAGUAAUUACAUGUAUAAAUAGAUAUAAAUAAAUAAAAAUAGGUAAAAAUAAGUUAAUUCUAUAGUAUUUAGUAUGAAAGCUUCCUAUAAGCUUCAUAGAUGUUGCUUUGACUUUAUAGGUGUCUUUAAUUGACUUUUGGAGAUUAGAAACGUGGUCAAAAAGUUGGCCAUAUGCCACACAUGUUGUUAGCUUGAAGACCAAGUUAACUAUGUGACUUACACGUAGAAAAACUUGCCUUGUAAGUCAAGGCAUGUGUCCUACAAAGUCAACUCAUAUUGGAGGUCCUACAGAACGUCGCCACGUAUCCUCUAGUAAGAUAAUAUAUAUAGAGACAAGAGUGAAGCCUUCUUCAUUCUUGUGAAUUCCUUUCUUACUUCUAGUCUAGUUUCAAGGGUCUCUAGUUUUCUUGGCUUUUGGAAAUAGC
This 619-nucleotide long non-coding RNA is filed under the name Physcomitrium patens. Its description in RNAcentral is "long non-coding RNA (PPAT_LNC012595)". The record is from RNAcentral. Lineage: Eukaryota; Viridiplantae; Streptophyta; Bryopsida; Funariales; Funariaceae.